RNAcentral lists this ribosomal RNA (519 nucleotides) under uncultured eukaryote. RNAcentral's name for it is "SSU rRNA". It matches the Rfam family "Eukaryotic small subunit ribosomal RNA", at positions 1161 to 1699 of the family's 1831-position model. The record is from RNAcentral.
AGGGCACCACCAGGAGUGGAGCCUGCAGCUUAAUUUGACUCAACACGGGAAAACUCACCCGGCCCGGACACUGAAAGGAUUGACAGAUUGAGAGCUCUUUCUUGAUUCAGUGGGUGGUGGUGCAUGGCCGUUCUUAGUUGGUGGAGCGAUUUGUCUGGUUAAUUCCGAUAACGAACGAGACUCUAGCCUACUAAAUAGAUCGCCGGUUUACAAACACCGGUGAGACUUCUUAGAGGGACAGGCGGCGAUUCAGCCGCACGAAACAGAGCAAUAACAGGUCUGUGAUGCCCUUAGAUGUCCGGGGCCGCACGCGCGCUACACUGAAGUGAUCAGCGUGCAUUUUAAGCCUACUCUGCCAAGAGUGGGAAACCCAAUGAACCUUCUUCGUGAUUGGGAUAGGGGAUUGUAAUUAUUCCCCCUGAACGAGGAAUUCCCAGUAAGCGCGAGUCAUAAGCUCGCGUUGAUUACGUCCCUGCCCUUUGUACACACCGCCCGUCGCUACUACCGAUUGAAUGUUUU